Molecule: ribosomal RNA, 253 nt
Filed under: uncultured Gemmata sp.
Lineage: Bacteria; Pseudomonadati; Planctomycetota; Planctomycetia; Gemmatales; Gemmataceae
Description: partial 16S ribosomal RNA
Rfam family: Bacterial small subunit ribosomal RNA
Source: RNAcentral
GACGAACCGUGCGAACGUUGUUCGGAAUCACUGGGCUUAAAGGGCGCGUAGGCGGGCCAUCAAGUCAGGGGUGAAAUCCUCCGGCUCAACCGGAGAACAGCUUUUGAUACUGGUGGUCUUGAGUGGGGUAGGGGCAUGUGGAACUUCCGGUGGAGCGGUGAAAUGCGUAGAUAUCGGAAGGAACGCCGGUGGCGAAAGCGACGUGCUGGACCCCUUCUGACGCUGAGGCGCGAAAGCCAGGGGAGCAAACGGG